UUAGGAAUUUUGCGCAAUGGGCGAAAGCCUGACGCAGCAACGCCGCGUGAGGGAAGACGGCUUUCGGGUUGUAAACCUCUUUUAGCAGGGACGAACACAAUGACGGUACCUGCAGAAAAAGCACCGGCUAACUACGUGCCAGCAGCCGCGGUAAUACGUAGGGUGCAAGCGUUAUUCGGAUUUAUUGGGCGUAAAGCGCAUGUAGGCGGUUCGGUAAGUCUGGUGUGAAAGCCCUCGACUCAAUCGAGGAAGUGCAUUGGAUACUGUCGAACUGGAGUACAGGAGGGGUGAGCGGAAUUCCAGGUGUAGAGGUGAAAUUCGUAGAUAUCUGGAGGAACAACAGCGGCGAAGGCGGCUCACUGGACUGUAACUGACGCUCAGAUGCGAUAGUGUGGGGAGCAAACAG
Molecule: ribosomal RNA, 406 nt
Filed under: uncultured bacterium
Lineage: Bacteria
Description: bacterial SSU rRNA
Rfam family: Bacterial small subunit ribosomal RNA
Source: RNAcentral